CCUACGGGGGGCAGCAGUGGGGAAUAUUGGGCAAUGGGCGCAAGCCUGACCCAGCAACGCCGCGUGAAGGAAGAAGGCUUUCGGGUUGUAAACUUCUUUUCUGGGGGACGCACAAAUGACGUUACCCCAGGAAUAAGCCACGGCUAACUACGUGCCAGCAGCCGCGGUAAUACGUAGGGGGCAAGCGUUAUCCGGCUUUAUUGGGUGUAAAGGGCGUGUAGGCGGGAAUGCAAGUCAGAUGUGAAAACUCAGGGCUCAACCCUGAGCCUGCAUUUGAAACUGUGUUUCUUGAGUGCUGGAGAGGUAAGCGGAAUUCCGUGUGUAGCGGUGAAAUGCGUAGAUAUCCGGAGGAACACCAGUGGCGAAGGCGGAGUGCUGGACAGUAACUGACGCUGAGGCGCGAAAGCGUGGGGAGCAAACAGGAUUAGAUACCCGGGUAGUC
RNAcentral lists this ribosomal RNA (442 nucleotides) under uncultured bacterium. RNAcentral describes it as "partial 16S ribosomal RNA". It matches the Rfam family "Bacterial small subunit ribosomal RNA", at positions 338 to 795 of the family's 1533-position model. The record is from RNAcentral.